UUUCUUCCUACGAAUAAUAUACUUUUUACAAAAACAAACAUCUAUAAAAUACACUGUAGGCGAGCUUUAUUUAUAUUUUAUGAUCUCAAUAUUGAAUACUAAAAAUGAUGAAAACUUAGUUGUGAAGUAGCUUUUCUAUAUUUACAAACAUUUUCUACUCGAAGAAUCAAACUUUCCAGAUAAAUUGAGCAAUGUGCAUUACGCAUAUUAAAAUAUACAAAGUAUGUUUUUUAUAUAAAAUUUGAUUUACUAUUUUCUACCGUAAUACUCGAUACUAAUAUUUAUUUUUAUAUUCCAUACUUAUACUUGUAUUAAAAACUGUGAUUUACGAAAAAAGUUAUUGAUUGAUUGAUAGACUAGUAAAACAUAUUUAUAUAUAAUAUAUAUAUUUCAGAGAACAUGUGUCCUCUCUAUCCGUUACAUAUACUUGUUUUGUAUUGCUGUAUGCUCAUUCCUCUGUUCCUUGCUGUAGUUCAAGGAGCUGAAAACUUGGCUUCAUGGAACCUUAACUUCUCCGUUCCUAGUCUUGGUAAUGGGGAAAACAAACUACGAGAGGAAACCAGUCAAACCUUUGAUGUUCUCUGCUUCGACUGCCCUCAACUUGAGGAUGAGAAAUAUAUGUUGGAGUUAAAGAAUCAAGAUCCUGGGAUAGGAAUACUCAGCUAUCCGAAAACAGGAGUACAGCAGGAUGAGUCUGGCUAUCUUCAGCUGGAUAUUACUGGAUAUCCGGAGGAUUUCAACAUCAGUUUCAAUGUGACCGGCACCUUCCUCGGGUUUAGCAAGAUCUCUGCUAAAGUUGUUACUGCCAAAGACAAAACAGUUCAGGAGGUUGGAACCCCUGAGGAUCUACGGCUUACUGUAACUAGAAGUAUAGCAAAAAAGACCGCGAGCAAAAUCUUUGGUUACUCCGUGGCUGUUCUCAUCUCGUUCGCAUACAUCAAUAUGGGCUGCGCACUUGAUCUAGACGUUAUGAAGAGCGUUCUUAAAAGACCAAUCGGACCUGGGAUUGGGUUUGUGACUCAAUUCAUGUUCAUGCCACUGUGUGCUUUUGCGCUGACCUAUGUUUUCCCUAGUCAUAUGCCUGAAAUGAGACUCGGUCUCUUUGUUACAGGUUGCAGUCCUGGAGGGGGUGCAUCCAAUAUCUGGACAGUUAUGUUCGGAGGAAACCUAGAUUUGUCUGUGACAAUGACGGCUGUUUCCACCUUCUCUGCUUUCUUCAUGAUGCCUAUCUGGAUGUUUGCGCUUGGCGAGGUUAUCAUCGAAGACACGGAUAUUGUUGUACCGUACAGCAAGAUUUUAACCUACGGUAUUAUGCUGAUUGUACCACUAACCAUAGGAAUAGCAAUCAAGAGGUUUUUGCCACGUGUCUCUGCCUUCAUGGUGAAGAUAAUGAAACCAAUGGCUCUGUUCCUUAUCGUUUUCAUUCUAGUUUGCGGUAUUUGGUCCCAGUUCUUCAUGAUCCAGUUGAUCAGCUGGAGGAUUGCUUUGGUUGGGUUUGGUUUACCCUGGCUUGGCUUCGGUUUCGGUUGUCUCUUCUCAAAGCUCUGCAGAAGGGAGAGAAAAGACAUAAUCGCCAUUGCUGUCGAAACUGGAAUUCAAAACACAGGAAUGGCAAUCUUUAUGCUGUGGUUUACCCUGGACCAUCCGGCUGGAGAUCUUGCUGCUGUAGUUCCUGUAGCAGUUGCAACCCUUACUCCCUUCCCACUUCUAGCUGCUCUUCUUUACUACAAGUUGCGCUCCAUGUACUGCCCUUUGCUCAGAGAAGUUGAACUAGAGGAGAUGAAUAAGGACGGGUUUGAAACUACUCAGAGUCUCAUGGGAGAGAAGGGAUUGGAACCAAGCAUCAUCAAGAGUAAAGAAGAUUCAAAUCAGAAUAUUAAAGCAUAACUUCAAGACGGCUUCAGACGUUUUAGUCAUUUUAACAUAAAGGGGAUGGUGGAGUUGGCACAUUUGAUUUUUUUGACUUUGGUGUAAACCAAUUCAACUUUUAGUAACGGAAACUUGAAGUCUCUCUUAAAAUAAGUAUUAUUUUUGAUCUAAUCGUAAACGCACACCAAAAUUUUAUUUAGAUAAGCACCUCAAAUGUUGGGCAUCUUGUUAUAUGUUAAAAUUAGAUAUAUAUUAUUAGUUUAAGACCUACUUCAGAUUGAAGACGAUUGUAGUUCUGCUGACGAAGGUCGGAAAGUAUAUUAUAACGAUCUUACUGUAUGUCUCAAAGGCAAUAUUGUGAUCUAUUGUAAGCGUUAAAAUAUUUGAAUAAGUCGUGAAGAAAAAACUUUCUCAUACUUUUUAAAAUUGUCAAACAGCUAAAAGGACUCAAAACCUGAUUAAAAUCCGAGUUAUUAUUUGUGCUAAUAUCAAUCUUAGCCUAAACAAAGUCACAAAUGAUUGUAGUCCUUUUCUUUGUAGUUUUUGUUAGUGAUCGUAGGUUAAGUGUAAUAUUAAAAUAUUAAAUUAUUGUUUUAUAUUGAAUUUACAUGAUAAACUUGCACAAAGAA
RNAcentral lists this unclassified non-coding RNA (2498 nucleotides) under Eurytemora carolleeae. RNAcentral describes it as "ileal sodium/bile acid cotransporter". The record is from RNAcentral. Lineage: Eukaryota; Metazoa; Arthropoda; Copepoda; Calanoida; Temoridae.